RNAcentral lists this ribosomal RNA (216 nucleotides) under uncultured bacterium. Its description in RNAcentral is "partial 16S ribosomal RNA". It matches the Rfam family "Bacterial small subunit ribosomal RNA", at positions 524 to 739 of the family's 1533-position model. The record is from RNAcentral.
UACGUAGGGUGCGAGCGUUGUCCGGAAUUAUUGGGCGUAAAGGGCUCGUAGGCGGUCUGUCGCGUCUGCUGUGAAAACUCAGGGCUUAACCCUGAGCUUGCAGUGGGUACGGGCAGACUAGAGUGCGGUAGGGGAGACUGGAAUUCCUGGUGUAGCGGUGAGAUGCGCAGAUAUCAGGAGGAACACCAAUAGCGAAGGGCAGGCUCGUGGGGACCG